Molecule: long non-coding RNA, 448 nt
Filed under: Ananas comosus (pineapple)
Lineage: Eukaryota; Viridiplantae; Streptophyta; Magnoliopsida; Poales; Bromeliaceae
Description: long non-coding RNA (ACOM_LNC020657)
Source: RNAcentral
AUUCGAGGCGGAUUUUUAAAAACGCGAAUCUGAAUCCGACUCCAAACCUAAGAUUCGAACCUGAACCCAAACCCGACGGAUUUUAAAUAUCUAUUUCCAAACCCGAACCUGACCAAAAUCCGAAUCCGAACCUGAAAAUUCGAACCGGAAAUAAUUAUUUUUUUAAUAUUUUAAAAUAUAUUUUAUUAAAUUUAAAAUUUUAAAAUAGAAAUUUAAAUAUAACAUCAAAUUUUUAUAUACAUAUUAUAUAUAAUACAAAAUAAAUUCGGGUUCGGGUCGGAUACAGUCAAAAUCUAUAUCCGAAUCUAUAUCCGUCGGAGUUUUAUUUUUGAUAUCCACAUCCGAAUCCAUAUCCGUUUAGCAUUGAAUAUAUCUGCUUCAUUCAUAUUAGGGUUCAAAUAAAAUUUCGAAUAUCCAUGUUCAUUGACAUCCCUGCAUGCAGCACCUC